Molecule: ribosomal RNA, 388 nt
Filed under: Dubiaranea distincta
Lineage: Eukaryota; Metazoa; Arthropoda; Arachnida; Araneae; Linyphiidae
Description: partial 16S ribosomal RNA
Source: RNAcentral
AAAAACAUUUCUUAAAAUAUUUUUUUAAGUAAAAUCUGCUCCAUGUAAAAUAAAUAGCCGCAAUAUAAUUAUUGUGCUAAGGUAGCAUAAUCAUUAGCCUUUUAAUUAAGGGCUAGAAUGAAUGAUUUAACAUUUAAAUUUCUUUUUUUUUAAAAAGUAUUUAAUUUAAAUUAAACAUAAAAAUGUGUUUAUAUAAUAAAAAGACGACAAGACCCUAUUGAACUUUACUUAAGUUUAGCUGGGGAAGCUAAUUAAAUACUAUUUUAAUUUUAAUUUUUAAUAUAAAUAACCUCUAAAAGAGAUUUUAACAAGUUACCAUAGGGAUAACAACCUAAUAUUUUUUAAAAGUUCUUAUAAAAAAAAAAGAUUGCGACCUCGAUGUUGAAUU